Molecule: transfer RNA, 72 nt
Filed under: Trametes cingulata
Lineage: Eukaryota; Fungi; Basidiomycota; Agaricomycetes; Polyporales; Polyporaceae
Description: tRNA-Thr
Rfam family: tRNA
About the family: Transfer RNA (tRNA) molecules are approximately 80 nucleotides in length. Their secondary structure includes four short double-helical elements and three loops (D, anti-codon, and T loops).
Source: RNAcentral
UCCCGUUUAGCUCAGUGGUAGAGCGCAUCACUUGUAAUGAUGAGGUCAGUCGUUCAAUCCGGCUAACGGGAA